This 459-nucleotide ribosomal RNA is filed under the name uncultured bacterium. Its description in RNAcentral is "partial 16S ribosomal RNA". It matches the Rfam family "Bacterial small subunit ribosomal RNA", at positions 338 to 795 of the family's 1533-position model. The record is from RNAcentral.
CCUACGGGAGGCAGCAGUGAGGAAUAUUGGUCAAUGGCCGGGAGGCUGAACCAGCCAAGUCGCGUGAGGGAAGACGGCCCUACGGGUUGUAAACCUCUUUUGUCAGGGAGCAAGGUGCAGGUCGAGACCUGCUGUGAGAGUACCUGAAGAAAAAGCAUCGGCUAAAUCCGUGCCAGCAGCCGCGGUAAUACGGGGGAUGCGAGCUUAAUCCGGUUUUAUUGGGUUUAAAGGGUCCGCAGCCGGAGGCACAAGUCAGCGGGAAAAUCGCGGGGCGCAACCCCGCCCCGCCGUUGAAACUGUGUGCCUUGAGUGCGCGAAGGGUAGGCGGAAUGCGUGGUGUAGCGGUGAAAUGCAGAGAUAUCACGCAGAACUCCGAUCGCGAAGGCAGCCUACCGGCGCGCAACUGACGCUCAUGCACGAAAGCGUGGGUAUCGAACAGGAUUAGAUACCCGUGUAGUC